AAAGAGUAUGCAGGUGAUGCUGCAGAGAAGUCCAAAGAUACAGCAUAUAAGACCAAAGACUAUGCUGGUGAUGCAGCAUAUAAGACCAAAGACUAUGCUGGUGAUGCAGCAUAUAAGGCCAAAGACUAUGCUGGUGAUGCUGCAUACAAGGCCAAAGACUAUGCUGGUGAUGCUGCAGAGAAGACCAAAGAUGCAGCAUAUAAGACCAAAGACUAUGCAGGUGAUGCUGCAGAGAAGAGCAAAGAGUAUGCAACUGAUGCUGCAUACAAGUCUAAAGACUAUGCUGGUGAUGCUGCUCAGAAAACCAAAGAGGCUUCUGAUUAUGCCAGUGAUACCACUAAGAAGACCACAAAUU
Molecule: long non-coding RNA, 355 nt
Filed under: Cicer arietinum (chickpea)
Lineage: Eukaryota; Viridiplantae; Streptophyta; Magnoliopsida; Fabales; Fabaceae
Description: long non-coding RNA (CARI_LNC002188)
Source: RNAcentral